GCCGACGUAGCUCAACGGUAGAGCAAUCGCUUCGUAAGCGAUAGGUUAUCGGUUCAAAUCCGAUCGUCGGCU
Molecule: transfer RNA, 72 nt
Filed under: Candidatus Babeliales bacterium
Lineage: Bacteria; Candidatus Babeliae; Candidatus Babeliales
Also listed under: 5 other names
Description: tRNA-Thr
Rfam family: tRNA
About the family: Transfer RNA (tRNA) molecules are approximately 80 nucleotides in length. Their secondary structure includes four short double-helical elements and three loops (D, anti-codon, and T loops).
Source: RNAcentral